RNAcentral lists this ribosomal RNA (207 nucleotides) under uncultured bacterium. RNAcentral describes it as "partial 16S ribosomal RNA". It matches the Rfam family "Bacterial small subunit ribosomal RNA", at positions 568 to 774 of the family's 1533-position model. The record is from RNAcentral.
UGCGUAGGCGGUUUGGAAAGUCAGGUGUGAAAGCCUACAGCUUAACUGUAGAACUGCACUUGAAACUUCCAGACUAGAAUACUGAGGGGGCAGAUGGAAUUAGUGGUGUAGGGGUAAAAUCCGUAGAUAUCACUAGGAAUACCGAAAGCGAAAGCGAUCUGCUGGGAAGUUAUUGACGCUGAGGCACGAAAGCGUGGGGAGCAAACG